This 447-nucleotide ribosomal RNA is filed under the name uncultured bacterium. RNAcentral describes it as "SSU rRNA". It matches the Rfam family "Bacterial small subunit ribosomal RNA", at positions 26 to 518 of the family's 1533-position model. The record is from RNAcentral.
AGAACGAACGCUGGCGGCAGGCCUCAAACAUGCAAGUCUAGCGGGCAUAGCAAUAUGUCAGCGGCGGACGGGUGCGUAACACGUGGGAAUGUACCUAUUGGUUCGGAACAACGCAGGGAAACUUGCGCUAAUACCGAAUGUGCCCUUCGGGGGAAAGAUUUAUCGCCAAUGGAUCAGCCCGCGUUCGAUUAGCUAGUUGGUGAGGUAACGGCUCACCAAGGCGACGAUCAGUAGCUGGUCUGAGAGGAUGAUCAGCCUCACUGGGACUGAGACACGGCCCAGACUCCUACGGGAGGCAGCAGUGGGGAAUCUUGCGCAAUGGGCGAAAGCCUGACGCAGCAACGCCGCGUGGGGGACGAAGGCUCUCGGGUUGUAAACCCCUUUCAGCAGGAACGAAUUGACGGUACCUGCAGAAGAAGCCCCGGCCAACUACGUGCCAGCAGCCGC